UAUAAAGAUAAGGAUGGAAAGGAGUGGUGGACCGACUCUAGGAGAUAUUUUGCAUUUUGAUUUUCUUUGUAUGGUGUCGGUUCAAUAUUGUCUUUAUAUAUAGUAUCUGUCUUGUGAGUUUUAGUAAGCUAAAGAAAGAAAAUUAGAGAGAGUUGAGAUAAGAUGCAGAGUGAGCCGUGAGAAGACAGAGAGAGACUUUGAGAACAUAGAGAGUUUGAGAAAAGAGAGAAGUCGAGAGUUUGCAGAGGAGGCCGGAGCUUGAGGACUUGAUGAUCCAGUGAGGAAUUACUCUUUUUCAGUGUAUCAAGGAUGAAUUUGGAUUGCUAGUAGCGGGCUUAGGUGGAAGAGUUGGUGUUGAGGAAUUAUUUAAUUUAUCUUAGAGAUGUUGUAUUUAUUUUUAAAUUGAGGAAUUGAUGUUGUAUCAAUAAAGUGUAUUUUCUUUUGAGAUCCUGGGUGAAUACUGAUGUAUUUGGAUUUGAAUAAAUUGAAGAAUUUAUCUAGAAAAUUCGGGGCAUUA
Long non-coding RNA from Cornus florida, 517 nucleotides. RefSeq lists it as uncharacterized. Lineage: Eukaryota; Viridiplantae; Streptophyta; Magnoliopsida; Cornales; Cornaceae. The transcript is spliced from 2 exons. The record is from RefSeq and is a predicted model, not a curated record.